This 514-nucleotide ribosomal RNA is filed under the name Enterobacter hormaechei. RNAcentral's name for it is "partial 23S ribosomal RNA". It matches the Rfam family "Bacterial large subunit ribosomal RNA", at positions 1 to 555 of the family's 2925-position model. Lineage: Bacteria; Pseudomonadati; Pseudomonadota; Gammaproteobacteria; Enterobacterales; Enterobacteriaceae. The record is from RNAcentral.
GGUUAAGCGACUAAGCGUACACGGUGGAUGCCCUGGCAGUCAGAGGCGAUGAAGGACGUGCUAAUCUGCGAAAAGCGCCGGCGAGGUGAUAUGAACCUUUGACCCGGCGAUGUCCGAAUGGGGAAACCCAGUGCAAUCCGUUGCACUAUCGUUAACUGAAUACAUAGGUUAACGAGGCGAACCGGGGGAACUGAAACAUCUAAGUACCCCGAGGAAAAGAAAUCAACCGAGAUUCCCCCAGUAGCGGCGAGCGAACGGGGAGCAGCCCGGAGUCUGAAUCAGCUUGUGUGUUAGUGGAACGGUCUGGAAAGUCCGACGGUACAGGGUGAUAGUCCCGUACACGAAAGCACACAUGCUGUGAACUCGAAGAGUAGGGCGGGACACGUGGUAUCCUGUCUGAAUAUGGGGGGACCAUCCUCCAAGGCUAAAUACUCCUGACUGACCGAUAGUGAACCAGUACCGUGAGGGAAAGGCGAAAAGAACCCCGGCGAGGGGAGUGAAAAAGAACCUGAAA